Small nucleolar RNA from Cynoglossus semilaevis (tongue sole), 69 nucleotides. Its record names the gene SNORD24. It matches the Rfam family "Small nucleolar RNA SNORD24". Rfam says of the family: U24 is a member of the C/D class of snoRNA which contain the C (UGAUGA) and D (CUGA) box motifs. C/D box snoRNAs have been shown to act as methylation guides for a number of RNA targets. The record is from Ensembl. Lineage: Eukaryota; Metazoa; Chordata; Actinopteri; Pleuronectiformes; Cynoglossidae.
UGCAGAUGAUGUUAAGAAUAUUUGCUAUCUUAACUACAAUGAAGACAUCCCACCAAGAUCACUGAUGCA